Molecule: ribosomal RNA, 301 nt
Filed under: uncultured bacterium
Lineage: Bacteria
Description: partial 16S ribosomal RNA
Rfam family: Bacterial small subunit ribosomal RNA
Source: RNAcentral
CAGUAGCCGCGGUAAUACGUAGGGGGCGAGCGUUGUCCGGAAUUACUGGGCGUAAAGGGCACGCAGGCUGUGCUUCAAGUCAGCUGUAAAAGGAUGCGGCUUAACCGUGUUAUGCAGUUGAGACUGAGGUGCUGGAGUACCGGAGAGGCAAGUGGAAUUCCCAGUGUAGCGGUGAAAUGCGUAGAUAUUGGGAAGAACAUCGGUGGCGAAGGCGACUUGCUGGACGGUAACUGACGCUGAGGUGCGAAAGCCAGGGUAGCGAACGGGAUUAGAUACCCCCGUAGUCCCUGUCUCUUAUACA